This 72-nucleotide transfer RNA is filed under the name Bacteroidota bacterium. Its description in RNAcentral is "Bacteroidetes bacterium tRNA-Lys". It matches the Rfam family "tRNA". From Rfam's summary of the family: Transfer RNA (tRNA) molecules are approximately 80 nucleotides in length. Their secondary structure includes four short double-helical elements and three loops (D, anti-codon, and T loops). The record is from RNAcentral. Lineage: Bacteria; Pseudomonadati; Bacteroidota. RNAcentral also lists the same sequence under 1 other name.
UCCCUGGAAGCCAAAUGGUUAGGCAUCUGCCUUUUAAGCAGAGACAAGUGGGUUCGAUCCCCACCCAGGGAA